AAGAAAAAGAAAUAGGAGAAUGCCAAAAUAGCCUAUUGAACAUCAAGAAACACGCAACAGAUCUUCAAAUGUUUCUCUCAAUCAAGCAAAUAGAAGAGGACGUGUAUAGCAAAGAAAAAAAAUUGCAGACUCUUGUAGAAGGCAAGGAACAGCAUACUCUUUCAUAUCAGAUCAACACCUCAAUCCAGAAUAUCAUAUCCGAUAUCAAAAGUUUUGGGGAAGUGCGUAUUGAAUCUAAUCCAUGCGACAUAGUUCUGAUCAAGAAGAAGGCCAGACAAGCCCAAUUGAUGAUUCCAAUCGUUCCAACAAAAUCUAUAGAAAAUAUAAAGCCAACGAUACACAAGACCAUCGACACUCAAGGAAAUAGAAUUUACGGAUGUUGCAUACUUCCAGAUGAUAGAUUGGUAUUUACUUACUACUUGGCCAAACAAUUGAAAGUUUUCAGUGAUAAAGGAUCAAAAGACUUUGAGGUCAAGAUGCCGUGUCACCCGAUUGAUAUAAUAUACAUUAGUAAGAGAAGACAAUACAUUGGCUGUAUCAUCUGAUAGACCACGUACCAUUACCAUAAUAAACCUGGAGACAAAACAGAUGAUGAAAUCAAUUGCAAUGGAUUCUGACAUUUAUGGCAUAGCCUUGAAAGGUAAUCAAUUGAUUUAUUCAGGGAGUGACAAAGGUAUACGAAUGAUCGAUUUAAACGAUGAGUCUAUAAGUGACUUAGUCCGAGAAGCAAUGACCAGUUGUUACUACACUGCAACUUUUAGGGACAAUAUAUAUCAUACAAACUUUCAAAAAGACACUGUGACAUGUUAUAACCUAUAAGGUAAACUACAAUGGGCAUGCCAUAACGAAAGCGUUCUGAAGGCUCCUCAUGGUAUUGAUGUAGAUAAUGAUGGUAAUGUAUUCGUGGUUGGGCACAGAUCGAACAACGUUGUAGUUAUCUCCUCUGAUGGAAAAAGACAUAGAGAAAUAUUGACCGUAAGUGAUGGUCUUGAUAAUCCUAUGUCACUUCAUUAUAGUGGAACAACGAAUCAGUUGCUAGUCGCGAACUUCAACAAUAGCAAAGCUUUUUUGUUAAAUUGUACUUGAAGAAAAAAUAACAGUGUGAAGUGCUGUCUCUUUGGAUCCUUAUAUGAAAUAAUUAUAGACAAUAGACAAUAUCUAUUUGCACAAUUUUAUUUACAAUAAGUGGUCACGGUAAUGCAGUUAAACAUUACGAAUUCCACAAUGAACUGUAUGCAGCAACUAACCAUAGUUUCUUAUUAAACUAUGGUGAUGUGUAAAGUAAAGUAGAUUAUAAAAAACCUUAUCACGAUUUAAGCGAUUUAUUGUGUUGCUUGGAUAGACAUUCAAUAAAAAAAUUCGAAAUAAAUAAUGGAUUAAAAUAACUAGAUUUUUAAAAUCUUUUUUCGCUCACCUGGUCCGAAGGGCCAUGUGAG
Molecule: long non-coding RNA, 1436 nt
Filed under: Mytilus galloprovincialis (Mediterranean mussel)
Lineage: Eukaryota; Metazoa; Mollusca; Bivalvia; Mytilida; Mytilidae
Source: RNAcentral